GGGGGUGAUAUGGGUUCGACGGGGGUCAAGAGGCGACGAGGAGCAUGCCGGGCACCGUGCCGGCCCGUGAGAGGCACGGAAAAAAACAACUGCCAACGUGCAGUACGCUCAGGCCGCGUGAGCGCGGCCUCGUUCCCCCUCGCCUCGCCCGCGGGUGAGGAGUGGAGCGUCACCACAGACGGGCUCGGUCCGCGCGAAGGAUCGGCGCGCGCGGGCGACAGCUGAGACCGAUCUAGUCGCGCGAGGCGCAUGUCGCCUCGCCUCCUCGCGCGGCGAAGGACAGAGAGGCGACUAAGCAUGUAGAACCUCGCGCCGGAAGGCCCUCGGACAGCGGUUCGAUUCCGCUCACCUCCACCA
Molecule: transfer-messenger RNA, 357 nt
Filed under: Blastocatellia
Lineage: Bacteria; Pseudomonadati; Acidobacteriota
Also listed under: 1 other name
Description: HR10 sp002923315 Standard tmRNA
Rfam family: transfer-messenger RNA
About the family: Bacterial tmRNA, also known as 10Sa RNA or SsrA, is named for its dual tRNA and mRNA-like properties. Its role is to liberate the mRNA from a stalled ribosome.
Source: RNAcentral